UAAAAGACGCCCCCUCUCCCCUCGCUCGACGUGGUUGAACCCAGGAGGGCGCCAAGUCUCUGCAGACCGGAGUGCUGCUGAUAGAACAUGCCGCCCAGGAGGAAGAAACCCGGGCAUGUGCCCAGUGACCAGUGGGUGCUCAUAGCUCCAGAUUCCCUGAAAGAUGAUGCAGAGAAGCCAAGUGAUAAAACAUUGUUUGCCAAGUUACGCAGUCCCCUUUCAGAUAAAGGCGCCAUGUUCUUAUUUAUCAGCUGUGGACAGCAGGUCUGCGAAGUGAAAGUUUUCCAGGAGGAAUAUCGGUCAUGGUUUAUUGGUCAGACAGUUCAGGAAGAUGGCAGAUUACUGUAUGUCACACCAGUAGACCCUCUGUUUUUGGUGCUGUACUAUCUGAUGAAAGCUGACAAAGAGCAAGGGAAAUUUCAGCCAGUGGAGCAGAUUGUGGUAGAUGAAGAAUUUCCAGCAUGUUCAUUGUUACUGCAGUGCACACCAGUAGCACAAUCUCUUCAUCAUGUCACAGAAGAAAAGGAAAUUGGCAGCAAGAAAUUUUACAAGUACAGUAAAGAGAAGACUCUUGCAUGGCUAAAGAAAAAGGUUGAUCAAACUGUUAAAGUAUUGAAGGACAGUGACGUAUGUGUGGGGGGAACCACACAGUCUGUCAGCUUUAUUCGGGUUAAACAGGAAUCUCACAUACAAGAAGAGGACUAUGUGCGCUAUGCUCAUGGACUGGUUUCAGAAUACAUUUCCAUACAGCUCCGCGACGAGCUGUCUACGUAUCUAAAUCUCCCAGAUGUUUCCAGUCCAACCCCAGAACCACCUAACAAAGAAAAGGAAACUAUCUGACAAGCCCGUGGAAGCAGAAGAGGACUACACAAAAUAUAAUUCAAAUGACAAAGGCAAAAAGGCUAAUAGCAAGAUGUCGGCAGCUCAGAAAUCCCUGGCCAAAGUGGACAAAAGUGGAAUGAAAAACAUAUCAUCUUUUUUUAGUCCAAAAUCUAAAGCCACAAAAUAAGAUGAGAACACUGAAAUUUCUAAUUUUUUUUAUGUAGUAAAAUUGUUUUGUUACAUGCCGUCUGUUCUUUGGAUGAGGGCAGGUGGUGUUUGAUAUGUUCCAGUUAUAGCAAGGCGCUGUUCACACUAUUAUAAUGUCUUCCUAUAAUAAUAGAGCUAUGAACGCUAUGCCGCAUUAGUCUUAUGGAUAUCGUAUGCGUAUCCUGCAUUUUGCUCUGUUGAUAGCAAUACGAUGGAAGUAAGACAGAUGGGAUUUAUUGCAGCUGCCUGAAAAGUCUACUUGGAAAAGAGGGAAAAUAAAAUCCGUAUUUUACAGUGUG
Molecule: RNA transcript, 1328 nt
Organism: Bufo bufo (common toad)
Lineage: Eukaryota; Metazoa; Chordata; Amphibia; Anura; Bufonidae
Gene: RNASEH2B
Gene name: ribonuclease H2 subunit B
Exons: 11
Source: RefSeq, a predicted model, not a curated record